UACGCUGGCGGCACGCCUUAUACAUGCAAGUCGAACGAAGUAGCAAUACUUAGUGGCAGACGGGUGAGUAACAUGUAGGUAUCUACCCUUUGGCCUGGAAUAACACGAGGAAACUUGUGCUAAUACCGGAUAAGUCUUUACGGAGAAAGCUUUAUGCACCAUUGGAUGAGCCUGCACUAGAUUAGUUUGUUGGUGGGGUAAUGGCCUACCAAGACUAUGAUCUAUAGCUGAUUUGAGAGGAUGAUCAGCCACAUUGGAACUGAGACACGGUCCAAACUCCUACGGGAGGCAGCAGUAGGGAAUCUUGCACAAUGGAGGAAACUCUGAUGCAGCGAUGCCGCGUGAGUGAAGAAGGCCCUUGGGUUGUAAAGCUCUUUCGUCGGGGAAGAAAAUGACUGUACCCGAAU
This 407-nucleotide ribosomal RNA is filed under the name uncultured bacterium. Its description in RNAcentral is "bacterial SSU rRNA". It matches the Rfam family "Bacterial small subunit ribosomal RNA", at positions 33 to 484 of the family's 1533-position model. The record is from RNAcentral.